UCAUCCAUGACUUUACUUUGUGUUUUUGGAUCCUUGCAGUGCUCCAAUAUCCUCUGUAUCACACGGCACCCAUAUGGAUGCAUGGAGAGAGUCACAACUUGAUCAAAGAAUGUUGAGACAAUAAAUUGGAUAUUUUCUUCAGGCACACACUCAAUACACUUUUGGAUGACAUGGUUCCCAUUUUGGUCACGUACACAUCGUGUGACAUGACCAUCAAGUUCUUCGACCAUUUUAAUCUUCUGGUCUAAGUCAACAACCUCAAUAGCCUUCUGGAUCACUCGACAACCAUACAUUUGCAGGCUAAGAGUCAAAACAUGACCAAAAAGGUUGCCAGCCAGUUCUCUUCUCUGCGAAGGAAGUCCAUGUUCAAAGAACUUCUGAAUUACAUAAUUGCCAAACACAUCAGUCAUUAAAGCAAGAGCUUGGGGCAUGAUUUCCUGAUAAACCAUGUUUUUCUCAUCAAUUGUGGCUGUCUCAAGUUUUUGUUGAAUGAACCGACUCCCGUACUGGUCCGCACUAAACUCAACAACAUGACCAGCAAUUUCUGAAAAUUCAAGACACUUAGUUUUAUUGCUCUUAAACUCCUCCAGAAGCGAUGAUGCGAAGCUUUCAUCCAUGUUAACUCCUCCAUCCAUGUGCCAUGGUCCCAUGAUGCCCCCUGCUAAGUUCCUCAUCCCAGAAGGAAAAUGCAUAUUCAGCUCAUUGUGUCUGAUUGGACUACCAGAUCCAACUGGGGAGUUUGGAAUAACAGGACUUGCCAAGGGACUUCCAGGAUAUGACAAGCCAACACCAAAGGCAGGAUUACCAUAAUAGCCACGAUGAUUAGAACCACCAGAUUUACCACCCAUUGGGACACCAUAAUGUGACUUCUGAGAUGAUAAAAGAGCUCCAACAUGAGCAUUCUGUAGUUCAAGUAAAUUCAUAUAAUU
RNAcentral lists this unclassified non-coding RNA (929 nucleotides) under Hevea brasiliensis (rubber tree). Lineage: Eukaryota; Viridiplantae; Streptophyta; Magnoliopsida; Malpighiales; Euphorbiaceae. The record is from RNAcentral.